GACGUAGGGCGCGAGCGUUGUCCGGAUUUAUUGGGCGUAAAGAGCUCGUAGGCGGCUUGUCGCGUCGACUGUGAAAACCCGUGGCUCAACCAUGUGGUCUGCAGUCGAAACGGGCAGGCUAGAGUCCGGUAGGGGAGACUGGAAUUCCUGGUGUAGCGGUGAGAUGCGCAGAUAUCAGGAGGAACACCGGUGGCGAAGGCGGGUCUCUGGGCCGAUACUGACGCUGAGGAGCGAAAGCGUGGGGAGCGAACAGG
RNAcentral lists this ribosomal RNA (254 nucleotides) under uncultured bacterium. RNAcentral describes it as "partial 16S ribosomal RNA". It matches the Rfam family "Bacterial small subunit ribosomal RNA", at positions 524 to 776 of the family's 1533-position model. The record is from RNAcentral.